RNAcentral lists this ribosomal RNA (253 nucleotides) under uncultured bacterium. RNAcentral's name for it is "partial 16S ribosomal RNA". It matches the Rfam family "Bacterial small subunit ribosomal RNA", at positions 524 to 776 of the family's 1533-position model. The record is from RNAcentral.
UACGUAGGGUGCGAGCGUUGUCCGGAAUUAUUGGGCGUAAAGAGCUCGUAGGCGGUUUGUCGCGUCGACUGUGAAAACCUGGGGCUUAACUCUGGGCCUGCAGUCGAUACGGGCAGACUUGAGUUCGGUAGGGGAGACUGGAAUUCCUGGUGUAGCGGUGAAAUGCGCAGAUAUCAGGAGGAACACCGGUGGCGAAGGCGGGUCUCUGGGCCGAUACUGACGCUGAGGCGCGAAAGCUAGGGGAGCAAACGGG